Molecule: small nuclear RNA, 148 nt
Organism: Chelonoidis abingdonii (Abingdon island giant tortoise)
Lineage: Eukaryota; Metazoa; Chordata; Testudines; Testudinidae
Gene: U4
Rfam family: U4 spliceosomal RNA
About the family: U4 small nuclear RNA (U4 snRNA) is a component of the major U2-dependent spliceosome. The structure of U4 snRNA from yeast and human has been reported.
Source: Ensembl
AAGUUUGAGGAGUGGCAGUAUCAUAGCCAAUGAGGUUAAUCCGAGGCGUGAUUAUUGCUAGCUGAAAACUUUUCCUUGGGUUCUGAAUCAAUGCAGCUCUCCUACUGCAACCCCCUCUAGGGUAGGAGUGCAGAAACAGGGGUUCAUG